GACGAACGCUGGCGGCGUGCUUAACACAUGCAAGUCGAACGGAAAGGCCCCUUUAGGGGUACUCGAGUGGCGCACGGGUGAGUAACACGUGAGUAACCUGCCCUUGACUUCGGGAUAACUUCAGGAAACUGGGGCUAAUACCGGAUAGGAAUCCUUGCUGCAUGGUGGGGGUUGGAAAGCUUCGGCGGUUUUGGAUGGACUCGCGGCUUAUCAGCUUGUUGGUGGGGUAGUGGCUUACCAAGGCUUUGACGGGUAGCCGGCCUGAGAGGGCGACCGGCCACAUUGGGACUGAGAUACGGCCCAGACUCCUACGGGAGGCAGCAGUGGGGAAUAUUGCACAAUGGGCGGAAGCCUGAUGCAGCAACGCCGCGUGCGGGAUGACGGCCUUCGGGUUGUAAACCGCUUUCAGCAGGGGCGAAGCUUGUGGUGACGGUACCUGCAGAAGAAGCACCGGCUAACUACGUG
This 465-nucleotide ribosomal RNA is filed under the name uncultured bacterium. RNAcentral's name for it is "partial 16S ribosomal RNA". It matches the Rfam family "Bacterial small subunit ribosomal RNA", at positions 28 to 507 of the family's 1533-position model. The record is from RNAcentral.